RNAcentral lists this ribosomal RNA (253 nucleotides) under uncultured bacterium. RNAcentral's name for it is "partial 16S ribosomal RNA". It matches the Rfam family "Bacterial small subunit ribosomal RNA", at positions 524 to 776 of the family's 1533-position model. The record is from RNAcentral.
UACGUAGGGUGCAAGCGUUAAUCGGAAUUACUGGGCGUAAAGCGUGCGCAGGCGGUCUGCUAAGAGAGAUGUGAAAUCCCCAGGCUUAACCUGGGAACUGCGUGUGAUACUGGAUGGCUUGAAUCCGGGAGAGGGAUGCAGAAUUCCAGGUGUAGCGGUGAAAUGCGUAGAUAUCUGGAGGAAUACCGGUGGCGAAGGCGGCAUCCUGGACCGGCAGUGACGCUGAUGAGCGAAAGCUAGGGGAGCAAACGGG